RNAcentral lists this ribosomal RNA (600 nucleotides) under uncultured bacterium. RNAcentral describes it as "bacterial SSU rRNA". It matches the Rfam family "Bacterial small subunit ribosomal RNA", at positions 736 to 1341 of the family's 1533-position model. The record is from RNAcentral.
UUUACUGACGCUAAAGCUCGAAGGUGCGGGUAUCGAACAGGAUUAGAUACCCUGGUAGUCCGCACGGUAAACGAUGGAUGCCCGCUGUUUGCGAUAUACUGUGAGCGGCCAAGAGAAAUCGUUAAGCAUCCCACCUGGGGAGUACGCCGGCAACGGUGAAACUCAAAGGAAUUGACGGGGGCCCGCACAAGCGGAGGAACAUGUGGUUUAAUUCGAUGAUACGCGAGGAACCUUACCCGGGCUUGAACUGCAGCGGAAGGAUACAGAGAUGUUGACGUCCUUCGGGACCGCUGUGGAGGUGCUGCAUGGUUGUCGUCAGCUCGUGCCGUGAGGUGUCGGCUUAAGUGCCAUAACGAGCGCAACCCCUUUCAUUAGUUGCCAUCACUUCGGGUGGGCACUCUGGUGAUACUGCCACCGUAAGGUGUGAGGAAGGUGGGGAUGACGUCAAAUCAGCACGGCCCUUACGUCCGGGGCUACACACGUGUUACAAUGGGUGAUACAGAUGGCAGGUUCACGGCAACGUGGAUCAAAUCUUGAAAGUCAUCCUCAGUUCGGAUUGGGGUCUGCAACCCGACCCCAUGAAGCUGGAUUCGCUAGUAA